GAUGAACGCUGGCGGCGUGCCUAAUACAUGCAAGUCGAGCGAACGGACGAGAAGCUUGCUUCUCUGAUGUUAGCGGCGGACGGGUGAGUAACACGUGGAUAACCUACCUAUAAGACUGGGAUAACUUCGGGAAACCGGAGCUAAUACCGGAUAAUAUUUUGAACCGCAUGGUUCAAAAGUAAAAGACGGUCUUGCUGUCACUUAUAGAUGGAUCCGCGCUGCAUUAGCUAGUUGGUAAGGUAACGGCUUACCAAGGCAACGAUGCAUAGCCGACCUGAGAGGGUGAUCGGCCACACUGGAACUGAGACACGGUCAAGACUCCUACGGGAGGCAGCAGUAGGGAAUCUUCCGCAAUGGGCGAAAGCCUGACGGAGCAACGCCGCGUGAGUGAUGAAGGUCUUCGGAUCGUAAAACUCUGUUAUUAGGGAAGAACAGAUGUGUAAGUAACUGUGCACAGCUUGACGGUACCUAAUCAGAAAGCCACGGCUAACUACGUG
This 497-nucleotide ribosomal RNA is filed under the name uncultured bacterium. RNAcentral's name for it is "partial 16S ribosomal RNA". It matches the Rfam family "Bacterial small subunit ribosomal RNA", at positions 28 to 507 of the family's 1533-position model. The record is from RNAcentral.